This 1852-nucleotide long non-coding RNA is filed under the name Hordeum vulgare. RNAcentral describes it as "long non-coding RNA (HVUL_LNC014912)". Lineage: Eukaryota; Viridiplantae; Streptophyta; Magnoliopsida; Poales; Poaceae. The record is from RNAcentral.
AACCACCAGCAUGGGUUGCUAUCCAACAAAGAAACUCCUUUUUCAUAAUAGCACAAGUCCUGUUGAGAGAAAAUGGAAGUUAGCACGAAGUAUAUAAAUCUUGAAAAAAUAAUAAAGUUUCCAGAGUAGCUUAUAGAAUCAAUUUAGGCAAAUAUCUGGAGAUUUUACGUAGCAGUUUUAAUUUUGGUUUUCUUGAUACAACUGAGGAACUCUAGUACACCGACAGGUAUGUUGUCUUCAAAUUCGUUGUCGUUGAAUGUUAGCUGAAUGUUAGCAGUUGUCCUAGAAUUAUUUUUCGGAGUUCGCAUUCAUCCUGUACAUCCAUAUUUUUGCAAACGAAUAAGAUUUACAUCACAUUUCUAAAAUAUAAUAUGUUGGUAUUGUAUGGCAAGACACACUAUGGCAGGGAACAUUCUUUUCUUGGAUAAUAAUCGGUGUCAAUUCCUUUGGAUAUAUAGAACCAUAUAAUAGAUUGAAACGAUCACCAUUUUUUCUGUUCAUAUAUAUUGCUGCUAGAUAUUCUGGAUGGAACAUUAGAAGUUUACCAUGCCGCCAUAAUGGUUACUACUUGCUUGCAUCAAUUCAAGCUACUACUUGUUGCAGAUAGUUUGAUAAAGGAAACAACAUGGCAAAUGUACAAAUCAAAGAGGUGUUUGCUUGAGUCUAUGGCAAUAGACCAAUUGUGUUAAAUACUUUCUCAAAUUAAUUUAAAUUUCUAGUUUAACCAUCAGUAAAUCCUGGUUGUAAAUCACUGUAAAUCAAACAUAGCUUCAUCAUAAUUUACACAAAGAAAAAGAGAUACCUGCAGCAAAGUAGGUCUAGGCGAUGGUUGAUGGUCUUCAGACAAAGUCGACGGAGGCAAAAUUUUGUGUAACAACAACAAAAAUUGAAGUUAAAACUCCAACAGUUACCUUGUUCAAACAACAUUCCAGAUUUUGCAAAGAUGCAAUCAGCACAGAGUUCAAUCAAAGAGGACGAGUUAUAACAAUGUCGUAAAUAGUGGAGUGACAUAUAAUCUUGAGAAGCUAACUAUAGGAUGCAUAAGCUACUGGGUGGGCCCAUAGUGGAGUGAUCUGGAUGUUCCUUCCAACAUUAUUUUGUCAGCACGAGCAGAUCAUGGCUUUAAUUACUUGCUAGUAGCUAGCUGCACAAACUAAAGAUUCAGGCAUACAGAUCGAAGAGGGGCUUGUUUACCCAGUCGGCAAGAGCAGAUCGAGGUUUCAAAUAAUUGCUAGCAUUAAGUUAAGUUGGUGCCUGCUACAACUAGCUGCACCAACAAACAAAGAUUCACAAAAAUAUAGAUAGUACAGGUGCUUGCUUCAGCCUAUGUCAACACACAGUUUUUCCAAUCAAAGUGUUGCUUACUUGCUUGCAUCAAUCUAAACUUCUACUUGCUGCAGCUACUUUCACAAACAAAAUAAGAUAGCAAAAUAAUAUAAAGUUUACAUCCUAUAAUCACAACUGAACUCUGGUUCUAAAUCAAAGGUAGCUACUAUAGAACCUGAUCCAUGUUUUCAACAUCAGAGUGUUAUGUACCACUACCACAACCAGUAGUCAAAUAAGACCAAAGACCUAUCUGAAACAAUGUUACACCGGGCUAGAAAAAAGUACAUAACCUACUUGUUUUGCCAUUAUGCGGCAUUAAUUUUAGUAAGUGUCAAUUAUAAUGUUAAAUGUAAGACAUUUAUUUUUGGACGGAAGGAGUUUCUUUUAAAGUUUUAAAAUAUAAUGUAAUGCUUACAUAAAAAUUGUAUUACUUUCUUAAUAAUAAUUAUCAUUUUUAUUGAGUGGUAAUAAUGUUUUGUUUUUUGAUGGGUAAUAGCAUUUUUGUGUACAACAUAUUUUGAAAAAA